This 29-nucleotide non-coding RNA is filed under the name Homo sapiens (human). Lineage: Eukaryota; Metazoa; Chordata; Mammalia; Primates; Hominidae. The record is from RNAcentral.
AGCUUUAGAGGUUGCACUCAGUGGGUAGC